RNAcentral lists this ribosomal RNA (445 nucleotides) under uncultured bacterium. Its description in RNAcentral is "partial 16S ribosomal RNA". It matches the Rfam family "Bacterial small subunit ribosomal RNA", at positions 354 to 796 of the family's 1533-position model. The record is from RNAcentral.
GUGAGGAAUAUUGCGCAAUGGAGGCAACUCUGACGCAGCCAUGCCGCGUGCAGGAAGAAGGCGCUACGCGUUGUAAACUGCUUUUAACCGGGAAGAAACCCCAGGACGUGUCCUGGGUUGACGGUACCGGAGGAAUAAGCACCGGCUAACUUCGUGCCAGCAGCCGCGGUAAUACGAAGGGUGCAAGCGUUAUCCGGAUUCAUUGGGUUUAAAGGGUGCGUAGGCGGAGCGUUAAGUCAGUGGUGAAAUCCUGCAGCUUAACUGUAGACUUGCCAUGGGUACUGGCGCUCUUGAGAGCGAUUGAAGUGGGCGGAAUGUGCCGUGUAGCGGUGAAAUGCUUAGAUAUGGCACAGAACACCAAUUGCGAAGGCAGCUCACUAAGGCGAUACUGACGCUGAGGCACGAAAGCGUGGGGAUCGAACAGGAUUAGAAACCCCGGUAGUCC